AUUGAACGCUGGCGGCAGGCCUAACACUUGCAAGUCGAGCGGAUGAAGGGAGCUUGCUCCUGGAUUCAGCGGCGGACGGGUGAGUAAUGUCUAGGAAUCUGCCUGGUAGUGGGGGAUAACGUCCGGAAACGGGCGCUAAUACCGCAUACGUCCUGAGGGAGAAAGUGGGGGAUCUUCGGACCUCACGCUAUCAGAUGAGCCUAGGUCGGAUUAGCUAGUUGGUGGGGUAAAGGCCUACCAAGGCGACGAUCCGUAACUGGUCUGAGAGGAUGAUCAGUCACACUGGAACUGAGACACGGUCCAGACUCCUACGGGAGGCAGCAGUGGGGAAUAUUGGACAAUGGGCGAAAGCCUGAUCCAGCCAUGCCGCGUGUGUGAAGAAGGUCUUCGGAUUGUAAAGCACUUUAAGUUGGGAGGAAGGGCAGUAAGUUAAUACCUUGCUGUUUUGACGUUACCAACAGAAUAAGCACCGGCUAACUUCGUG
This 484-nucleotide ribosomal RNA is filed under the name uncultured bacterium. RNAcentral's name for it is "partial 16S ribosomal RNA". It matches the Rfam family "Bacterial small subunit ribosomal RNA", at positions 30 to 507 of the family's 1533-position model. The record is from RNAcentral.